This 414-nucleotide ribosomal RNA is filed under the name uncultured marine eukaryote. RNAcentral's name for it is "bacterial SSU rRNA". It matches the Rfam family "Eukaryotic small subunit ribosomal RNA", at positions 619 to 1032 of the family's 1831-position model. The record is from RNAcentral.
UUAAAAAGCUCGUAGUUGGAUUUCUGUGGGGACGGAGCGGCCGGCCGCUACUAGCGGUUCGAGCUAGCGCUUUCCCUACAUCCUGCCGCGAACUGUGCUACCAUUAGUUUGGUGGCGCCGGGGAUCGGCUCGUUUACUUUGAGAAAAAUAGAGUGUUCAAAGCAGGCCACACGCCUUGAAUAAGUUAGCAUGGAAUAAUAACUAAGGACUUCGGUUCUAUGUUGUUGGUGUUCGGGACUGAAGUAAUGAUUGAUAGGGACAGUUGGGGCGGUCCGUAUUCCAAAAGCGAGAGGUGAAAUUCUUAGACCUUCGGAAGACGAACAGCUGCAAAAGCGUUCCGCAAGGAUGUUCCCUUUGAUCAAGAACGAAAGUUGGGGGAUCGAAGACGAUCAGAUACCGUCGUAGUCUCAACUA